CUUGCAACCAUAAGAGGUCCAGCCUGCCCAGUGAUCUAAUUCAACGGCCGCGGUAUCCUAACCGUGCAAAGGUAGCGUAAUCACUUGUUUUCUAAAUAAAGACUAGUAUGAAAGGCAUCACGAGGACUUAACUGUCUCCUUUCUCCAAUCAGUGAACCUAAUCUUCCCGUGAAAAAGCGGGAAUCCACCUAUAAGACGAGAAGACCCUGUGGAGCUUUAAACAUAAUAACACCUGCCACCAUCUCUAACAACCCCGGUACCUCCUUCAAGCGGCACCCUGAUUAUAUGUUUUUGGUUGGGGCGACCGCGGAGAAAAACUCAUCCUCCGCAAUGAACAGGACUUCUUCCUUAAACAAUAAGUCACAACUUUACGUAUUAAAAAAUUAACAUUCCUUGACCCAAUAAAUUGAUUAAUGAAC
Molecule: ribosomal RNA, 419 nt
Filed under: Pristimantis inguinalis group sp. ABGD cluster 146
Lineage: Eukaryota; Metazoa; Chordata; Amphibia; Anura; Strabomantidae
Description: partial large subunit ribosomal RNA
Rfam family: Archaeal large subunit ribosomal RNA
Source: RNAcentral